CGGGAAAAGCUCAAAUUUAAAAUCUGGCAGUCUUUGGCUGUCCGAGUUGUAAUUUGUAGAAGAUGCUUCGGGUGUAGCACCGGUCUAAGUUCCUUGGAACAGGACGUCAUAGAGGGUGAGAAUCCCGUAUGUGACUGGCUGCCUUCGCCUAUGUGAAGCUCUUUCGAC
Molecule: ribosomal RNA, 168 nt
Filed under: Helotiaceae sp.
Lineage: Eukaryota; Fungi; Ascomycota; Leotiomycetes; Helotiales; Helotiaceae
Description: partial large subunit ribosomal RNA
Rfam family: Eukaryotic large subunit ribosomal RNA
Source: RNAcentral